UACGUAGGGGGCUAGCGUUGUCCGGAUUUAUUGGGCGUAAAGAGCGUGUAGGCGGCCAGGUAGGUCUGCUGUGAAAAGUCGAGGCUCAACCUCGAGACGUCGGCGGAAACCAUCUGGCUAGAGUCCGGAAGAGGAGAGUGGAAUUCCUGGUGUAGCGGUGAAAUGCGCAGAUAUCAGGAAGAACACCCGUGGCGAAGGCGGCUCUCUGGGACGGUACUGACGCUGAGACGCGAAAGCGUGGGGAGCGAACAGG
This 253-nucleotide ribosomal RNA is filed under the name uncultured bacterium. RNAcentral's name for it is "partial 16S ribosomal RNA". It matches the Rfam family "Bacterial small subunit ribosomal RNA", at positions 524 to 776 of the family's 1533-position model. The record is from RNAcentral.